RNAcentral lists this RNase P RNA (362 nucleotides) under Alphaproteobacteria bacterium 65-7. Its description in RNAcentral is "RNase P RNA component class A". It matches the Rfam family "Bacterial RNase P class A". From Rfam's summary of the family: Ribonuclease P (RNase P) is a ubiquitous endoribonuclease, found in archaea, bacteria and eukarya as well as chloroplasts and mitochondria. Lineage: Bacteria; Pseudomonadati; Pseudomonadota; Alphaproteobacteria. The record is from RNAcentral.
UCAGAUGGCCGGGUGACCGCGGGCGCGCAAGCGUUCGAGGAAAGUCCGGGCUCCACGGAAAAACGGUGCCGGAUAACGUCCGGCGGGGGCGACCCCAGGGAUAGCGCCACAGAAAUCAAACCGCCUAAGUCUUUCGGGACCGGCAAGGUUGAAAUGGUGCGGUAAGAGCGCACCGCGCGACUGGCAACAGGAGCGGCACGGCAAGCCCCACCGGGAGCAAGACCAAAUAGGGACGGUAUGUUGGCUUUUCCGGUCAACCGUCCGGGUCGGUCGCGCGAGGCGUUCAGCGAUGAACGUCCCAGAGGAAUGGUCACCCCUUCAGCAAUGAAGGACAGAACCCGGCUUAUAGGCCAUCUGAUGCU